Molecule: ribosomal RNA, 349 nt
Filed under: uncultured rumen bacterium
Lineage: Bacteria
Description: bacterial SSU rRNA
Rfam family: Bacterial small subunit ribosomal RNA
Source: RNAcentral
UUGGCUCAGGAUGAACGCUGGCGGCGUGCCUAACACAUGCAAGUCGAACGGAGUGUUGAGAGCUUGCUUUUAACACUUAGUGGCGGACGGGUGAGUAAUGUAUGAGCAACCUGCCUUUCAGAGGGGGACAACAGUUGGAAACGACUGCUAAUACCGCAUAAUGUAUUUUGAGGGCAUCCUCUAGAUACCAAAGGAGCAAUCCGCUGAAAGAUGGGCUCAUAUCUGAUUAGCUAGUUGGUGGGGUAACGGCUCACCAAGGCUGCGAUCAGUAGCCGGACUGAGAGGUUGAACGGCCACAUUGGGACUGAGAUACGGCCCAGACUCCUACGGGAGGCAGCAGUGGGGAAUA